CUCUUAACGGUUUCGAAAGUUGGCACUUUUAACAUCGAUUAACGGUUUGCUAAACUUGACGUCAUUUGUACCGUCACCACUAGCUGGACUAGCUGGGACCAUUACUUAAUGGAUCACUGGAAUACGACCUGGGAAACUCUCCGGCCUGUCAGCUGUUGUAAGAGCAGUCGACAGUCUGAUGGUCAAAGUUGGAGUUUGUAAAAAUUAACGAGCAGCAAUAUCAUCCAACAACAGCAAGACCGUGGUGGAUACAGCGCCAGUACAUACAUAUACGAUAUCGACAAGCACCAAUGGCGCUUGCAUCGAUAAAAAUAAUCUUGCUCACUUGCAUUGUUUGUACUUGCACUCAUUGAGUAUAGGUACGUUCCGGGUCGAAGGGUUCCAGACAAUCUGACCAUGAAGAAAUAUAAUCGCGAUCAGCUAUUGAAGAUGAAGAAGAACGCCCCGAACGUGAAGGUCCAAUAGCAUCAGCAAUCAUUCAUUGAUUCGGGUAACCAAUGCAGCAAAUAUCAACGGCAGCGUAAUUCCUUCUGUUCUCGUAUUAAAUAUCAUAAAACAUAUUAAAUAAAUUAAAUUAAAAGUUAUAAUAUAUUCCAACUAAA
Long non-coding RNA from Armigeres subalbatus, 602 nucleotides. RefSeq lists it as uncharacterized. The record is from RefSeq and is a predicted model, not a curated record. NCBI's taxonomy places the organism in Eukaryota, Metazoa, Arthropoda, Insecta, Diptera, Culicidae. The transcript has 2 exons.